UACGUAGGGGGCGAGCGUUGUCCGGAGUUACUGGGCGUAAAGGGCAUGCAGGCGGUCGGACGCGUUUUGUGUGACAGCGGGUGGCUUAACUACCCGAGCAUGCGAAAGACGGUUGGACUUGAGGGCUCGAGAGGGACACGGAAUUCCGGGUGUAGUGGUGGAAUGCGUAGAGAUCCGGAGGAACACCAGCGGCGAAGGCGGCAUCCUGGACUGGUCCUGACACUCAGGAGCGAAAGCGUGGGGAGCGAUCCGG
Molecule: ribosomal RNA, 253 nt
Filed under: uncultured bacterium
Lineage: Bacteria
Description: partial 16S ribosomal RNA
Rfam family: Bacterial small subunit ribosomal RNA
Source: RNAcentral